GUGCUCAUUUCAGCUUUGAUAGCACAUACACUAAAACUAGAAUGAUACAGAGAUUAGCAUGCCCCAGUGCAAGGAUGACAUGCAAAUUCACAAUUAUUCUGAUACAUGA
Molecule: small nuclear RNA, 109 nt
Filed under: Castor canadensis (American beaver)
Lineage: Eukaryota; Metazoa; Chordata; Mammalia; Rodentia; Castoridae
Source: RNAcentral